AAUAAAGUGGCUGAAUUAGGUAUUAAACUGUAAAUUUAAUAAUAAGAGUAAUUUCUUCUUUAUUA
Molecule: transfer RNA, 65 nt
Filed under: Allonychiurus kimi
Lineage: Eukaryota; Metazoa; Arthropoda; Collembola; Poduromorpha; Onychiuridae
Description: tRNA-Tyr
Rfam family: tRNA
About the family: Transfer RNA (tRNA) molecules are approximately 80 nucleotides in length. Their secondary structure includes four short double-helical elements and three loops (D, anti-codon, and T loops). Further hydrogen bonds mediate the characteristic L-shaped molecular structure. tRNAs have two regions of fundamental functional importance: the anti-codon, which is responsible for specific mRNA codon recognition, and the 3' end, to which the tRNAs corresponding amino acid is attached (by aminoacyl-tRNA synthetases). tRNAs cope with the degeneracy of the genetic code in two manners: having more than one tRNA (with a specific anti-codon) for a particular amino acid; and 'wobble' base-pairing, i.e. permitting non-standard base-pairing at the 3rd anti-codon position.
Source: RNAcentral